This 1161-nucleotide long non-coding RNA is filed under the name Equus caballus (horse). RNAcentral describes it as "lncRNA (ENSECAG00000053912.1)". Lineage: Eukaryota; Metazoa; Chordata; Mammalia; Perissodactyla; Equidae. The record is from RNAcentral.
AGAACUUGUCGUAUACACCCGAACAAAAUUUUGAAAGCCGAAGGUUCUCUGCAGAGCCAUGUGCCUUUUCAGGAAAACAAUGAUGCACCGCUUACAACAAGUGCACUUCACUGAAUCGCUUAAUUUCCAUCAGGCUAAUUUUGCUGCUUCAUAAUCUCAGCGUUUGAAAAUAUCAAAAACAUCUCUUUUUCCACAGUUAUUCCUGCACACUGGUCUCAUACAUAUCACGCUAUGUGAGAGGUCAUUGUAAGGAAAAGAAUCCAUUAGAUACUUUGAAUGCACUUUGCUUAUUUCACGUUUGUAAUUUCAGAAGUUAAAUGGAAGCAUUGGUAAAAACAACAGUAAUUAUUCACUUCAGCGGAUGGUUGAGGAAAAUCGGGAACCCAGGGAGCCAGCACCUUGCAAUGGUGUGGUUUAAUGUAAAGGUAAAUUGAGGCAAAGGCUUCACUGCUUAAAUAACAAAUUAUAAGCCUCAACCCAGGGAAAGUAGUGUUAAUAGGAUAAGCAUACCCCAUUCAAGCUCUUUCCACCAUUACUCGCGUUAAGAAAUUCAUUUAAGGCGGGGGGAGGGGCAAACACAACACAGAGCUAAGUAAAGCAAAAAGUUCGAGAAACAAACCUAUUCCAGGCUGCCUAUAAUCUGAAGGUUCUAUUAUAACUCACUCAGAUGACCUGAUUCUAUCCAGUGUUAAAUCCUUUGUUUUUGAAAACGCAAACCUUCAUGACUUGCGCCUGGGAGGGGAUGCUGGGAAUGUCCAAUCAGAGAGGCUCAAGUCUCACGCGGCUCUGAGUCAGCCAAUGAGGGACCCGCAGCACUGAGCCACCCUCAUUGGCCUGAUGUGCAGUCAAACAUUCCCCACCGAACCAAUCGGAGUCCUCCUGGAAUCUUCAGCCUUGGUGACAGACAGGGUAAAGAGUGUGAUUAUUUGCCUGCUGUUUGUUUCUCUGCUUGAUUGGUUUUCUGCUUUUCAUCAAGGUUACUUAAGAUACGUCAAUGUUUUAGAGCAGUUAUACAAAAAUGCUAGAAGUUGCGUUCUUAAACUACGUAUAUUUGUUUCUCACACUCCUGGAGGCUCGAAGUCCAAAUCGAGACGUCAGCAGGGUUGGUUCUUCUGAGUGGUUCGAACGAAGGAUCUGUUCCAGGCCUCUCUCCUUCCUUGU